RNAcentral lists this ribosomal RNA (301 nucleotides) under uncultured bacterium. RNAcentral's name for it is "partial 16S ribosomal RNA". It matches the Rfam family "Bacterial small subunit ribosomal RNA", at positions 509 to 807 of the family's 1533-position model. The record is from RNAcentral.
CAGCCGCCGCGGGAAUACGGAGGGUGCAAGCGUUAAUCGGAAUUACUGGGCGUAAAGCGCACGCAGGCGGUCUGACAAGUCAGAUGUGAAAUCCCCGGGCUUAACCUGGGAACUGCAUUUGAAACUGUCAGGCUGGAGUCUUGUAGAGGGGGGUGGAAUUCCAGGUGUAGCGGUGAAAUGCGUAGAGAUCUGGAGGAAUACCGGUGGCGAAGGCGGCCCCCUGGACAAAGACUGACGCUCAGGUGCGAAAGCGUGGGGAGCAAACAGGAUUAGAUACCCCUGUAGUCCCUGUCUCUUAUAC